This is a long non-coding RNA of Cyprinus carpio (common carp), 1425 nucleotides long. The record is from Ensembl. NCBI's taxonomy places the organism in Eukaryota, Metazoa, Chordata, Actinopteri, Cypriniformes, Cyprinidae.
AGCAGUGAGACUCCCACAGCAGAGACAACCAAACUGAAGCUUUUUCUCCUGAGAAGUCACUGGAAUGACCGAUAUGAAGACUUGGAUGGUUGAAAGUCACACAUUCUCUUCCCGUUAAUGACUUUGAGCCUCGAGGCCUCAGACAGGAGCCUGCAGACCUUCGGAUUGAUCCCCUCCCGUCUCCUUCAGAGUCAUCAGGUGUUUGCAGAGAGAUGAUUCACCUUGUUGGUUCAGGAUUGGACUGUCGAUGUUCAGCACCAUGGACAGCUCCUGCUCUGUAUCACCUGAUCAGAUGGCAACAUUUCAACUGUUGUGCUCAGAAGAGAAGCUGUGCCGUAUGUGAGAGACACCCAGCAGAGAACAGAAGAACAGCUAGAGCACCUCUUAAAAAGUCACACUUUCAUGUUCUCUUUGAGAGACUUUAAAAGGACAUACCUGACAAACAUUUGCUAUUUUAAUGUUGCUGUAGGGUUAGGUAAGUUGUGGGCAAGUUUUCAGAUAAGGGAAAAAAAUGUAUUACGUUAACACUUGCAAGUCUUAAUUACAUUUUACAAUGUUAUGAGGUGUUUUUAAUUAUAUAACAAGUGUCAGCAUUAUUCGGCUGUUUUUUAUUCCUCUUUUUGCUUAAACUAUAUUGUAGUACAGUUUAGAAUAAGUACAUAUGUGAAAUUCUUUGUACUAACUAUAAGAUGUAAUAGCUUCUACUGAAGCACAGUAAAGCAUAAGACAUUCCAAAUACUAAAUCACUUUUCACUGAAUUGUUACGCUGAUCAUAUCAUUUGUAUCAUAAACUGAUGUUUUAGUUAGAAAAAUGCAAGUUUGAAGCAUUCUCACUAGUAGUCUCAGAUUUGACCCCAACUUAUGUGACAGCGGUGUUAAAAAAAGCUCUCAGUGCAUAACCUGGUUUGAGGAUCUUUCAUGCCUUGUGUCUUUGGGAUGACCUGCUGUUUUUGGUCCUAUCAGAGUUCUUACAUCUCUUCGGCGUCUCUCUGGCAGCAGAGGACAGAGGAGAAGAUCAAGACGCCUUUGAUGUGUUGCCCACUGCAGGCGAUACCGGGAUAUGGAAUAUGAUUUCUGAAAAAUGUAACAUCUAGAUUAAAAAGUAACAUCUGGUUGAAAUUCACAACAGGGAGUGGUAUGAUUUAUGAGCUGAAUUAUUUUGAAGUGAAGUAAAUAGAUUGUUCAUUAUAUUAUUUUCUUAAGCAAACUAAGCUUUCUUUGACACUUUGAUACAUUUGCUUGGUUUUGUGUAUCAGGGAUAAAAAAAAAAAUCAAAAAGAAUUUAACAGUUUAGGUUUCCAUUCCUCUUUAAAAUUCUGGUUCCUUAAAGGUUCCAAUAAUUAUUAUUUUUAGGGCUUUAAUAGUGAAAUAUUUGGGAAAAGUCUAACUUCUAGCUGUAUGUUUUUACAGAGUAUAAAGAACCAG